Molecule: long non-coding RNA, 271 nt
Filed under: Brassica napus (rape)
Lineage: Eukaryota; Viridiplantae; Streptophyta; Magnoliopsida; Brassicales; Brassicaceae
Description: long non-coding RNA (BNAP_LNC024996)
Source: RNAcentral
UUAGGGUUUAGGGUUUAGGGUUUAGUGUUGAUAGUUUAGGGUUUGGUGUUGAUGUUUUAGGGUUUAGAGUUGAAGUUUGAGGUUUAGGGUUUAGGGUUGAUGUUUUAGGGUUUAGAGUUGAAAGUUUAGCGUUUAAGGUUUUUAGGGUUUAGAGUUGAGGUUUUAGGGUUUAGGGUUUGUAUUUAAAAAAAUAGGAUUUAGGGUUUAGAGUUGAGUUUUAGGGUUUAGGGUUCGAAUUUCAAAAUAGUAUAAUUAAAAAAAAUAAAAAAAA